GAUGAACGCUGGCGGCGUGCCUAAUACAUGCAAGUCGAGCGAACGGACGAGGAGCUUGCUUCUCUGAUGUUAGCGGCGGACGGGUGAGUAACACGUGGAUAACCUACCUAUCAGACUGGGAUAACUUCGGGAAACCGUAGCUAAUACCGGAUAAUAUUUUGAACCGCAUGGGUCAAAAGUGAAAGACGGUCUUGCUGUCACUUAUAGAUGGAUCCGCGCUGCAUUAGCUAGUUGGUAAGGUAACGGCUUACCAAGGCAACGAUGCAUAGCCGACCUGAGAGAGUGAUCGGCCGCACGGGAGCUGAGACACGGUCCAGACUCCUACGGGAGGGAGCAGUAGGGAAUCUGCCGCAAUGGGCGAAAGCCUGACGGAGCAACGCCGCGUGAGUGAUGAAGGUCUUCGGAGCGUAAAACUCUGUUAUUAGGGAAGAACAUAUGUGUAAGUAACUGUGCAGAGCUUGACGGUACCUAAUCAGAAAGCCACGGCUAACUACGUG
Molecule: ribosomal RNA, 497 nt
Filed under: uncultured bacterium
Lineage: Bacteria
Description: partial 16S ribosomal RNA
Rfam family: Bacterial small subunit ribosomal RNA
Source: RNAcentral